RNAcentral lists this ribosomal RNA (484 nucleotides) under uncultured bacterium. RNAcentral describes it as "partial 16S ribosomal RNA". It matches the Rfam family "Bacterial small subunit ribosomal RNA", at positions 30 to 507 of the family's 1533-position model. The record is from RNAcentral.
AUUGAACGCUGGCGGCAGGCCUAACACAUGCAAGUCGAGCGGAUGAAGGGAGCUUGCUCCCUGAUUCAGCGGCGGACGGGUGAGUAAUGCCUAGGAAUCUGCCUGGUAGUGGGGGAUAACGUCCGGAAAGGGGCGCUAAUACCGCAUACGUCCUACGGGAGAAAGUAGGGGAUCUUCGGACCUCGCGCUAUCAGAUGAGCCUAGGUCGGAUUAGCUAGUUGGUGAGGUAAGGGCCUACCAAGGCGACGAUCCGUAACUGGUCUGAGAGGAUGAUCAGUCACCCUGGAACUGAGACACGGUCCAGACUCCUACGGGAGGCAGCAGUGGGGACUAUUGGACAAUGGGCGAAAGCCUGAUCCAGCCAUGCCGCGUGUGUGAAGAAGGUCUUCGGAUUGUAAAGCACUUUAAGUUGGGAGGAAGGGCAGUUGGUUAAUACCUUGCAGUUUUGACGUUACCAACAGAAUAAGCACCGGCUAACUUCGUG